UAGGGAAUAUUAGAAAUGGACGAAAGUCUGAUCUAGCAACACCGCGUGUGCGAAGAAGGCCUUCGGGUUGUAAAGCACUUUUUGGAAGGAUUAGGAAGGAAUGUACUUCCAGAAUAAGUCUCGGCUAACUACGUGCCAGCAGCCGCGGUAACACGUAGGAGGCAACCGUUAUCCGGAUUUACUGGGCGUAAAGCGCGUGUAGGUGGUUCUGUAAGUAGGGCGUGAAAGCUCCUGGCUCAACUGGGAGAGGCCGUUCUAAACUGCAGAGCUAGAGGAUGGUAGAGGGGGGUGGAAUUUCGGGUGUAGCGGUGGAAUGCGCAGAGAUCCGGAGGAACACCAGUGGCGAAAGCGGCCUCCUGGACCAUUCCUGACACUCAGACGCGAAAGCUAGUGUAGCAAACG
This 402-nucleotide ribosomal RNA is filed under the name uncultured prokaryote. RNAcentral's name for it is "bacterial SSU rRNA". It matches the Rfam family "Bacterial small subunit ribosomal RNA", at positions 355 to 774 of the family's 1533-position model. The record is from RNAcentral.